CAGUAGCCGCGGUAAUACGUAGGUGGCAAGCGUUGUCCGGAAUUAUUGGGCGUAAAGGGCUCGCAGGCGGUUUCUUAAGUCUGAUGUGAAAGCCCCCGGCUCAACCGGGGAGGGUCAUUGGAAACUGGGAAACUUGAGUGCAGAAGAGGAGAGUGGAAUUCCACGUGUAGCGGUGAAAUGCGUAGAGAUGUGGAGGAACACCAGUGGCGAAGGCGACUCCCUGGUCUGUAACUGACGCUGAGGAGCGAAAGCGUGGGGAGCGAACAGGAUUAGAGACCCGAGUAGUCCCUGUCUCUUAUAA
RNAcentral lists this ribosomal RNA (301 nucleotides) under uncultured bacterium. Its description in RNAcentral is "partial 16S ribosomal RNA". It matches the Rfam family "Bacterial small subunit ribosomal RNA", at positions 509 to 809 of the family's 1533-position model. The record is from RNAcentral.